Molecule: ribosomal RNA, 216 nt
Filed under: uncultured Orientia sp.
Lineage: Bacteria; Pseudomonadati; Pseudomonadota; Alphaproteobacteria; Rickettsiales; Rickettsiaceae
Description: partial 16S ribosomal RNA
Rfam family: Bacterial small subunit ribosomal RNA
Source: RNAcentral
UUGUUCGGAAUUACUGGGCGUAAGGGCGCGUAGGCGGUUUAAUAAGUUAGGAGUGAAAUCCCGGGGCUUAACCCUGGAACUGCUUCUAAAACUGUUAGGCUAGAGUAUGGUAGAGGGUGAUGGAAUUUCUAGUGUAGAGGUAAAAUUCUUAGAUAUUAGAAGGAACACCAGUGGCGAAAGCUGUCCUCUGGGCCAUUACUGACGCUGAGGCGCGAA